Molecule: ribosomal RNA, 429 nt
Filed under: Actinomycetes bacterium
Lineage: Bacteria; Bacillati; Actinomycetota; Actinomycetes
Description: Actinobacteria bacterium partial 16S ribosomal RNA
Rfam family: Bacterial small subunit ribosomal RNA
Source: RNAcentral
UAGGGAAUCUUCCGCAAUGGGCGAAAGCCUGACGGAGCAACGCCGCGUGAGUGAUGAAGGUCUUCGGAUCGUAAAACUCUGUUAUUAGGGAAGAACAAAUGUGUAAGUAACUAUGCACGUCUUGACGGUACCUAAUCAGAAAGCCACGGCUAACUACGUGCCAGCAGCCGCGGUAAUACGUAGGUGGCAAGCGUUAUCCGGAAUUAGUGGGCGUAAAGCGCGCGUAGGCGGUUUUUUAAGUCUGAUGUGAAAGCCCACGGCUCAACCGUGGGGAGUCAUUGGAAACUGGAAAACUUGAGUGCAGAAGAGGAAAGUGGAAUUCCAUGUGUAGCGGUGAAAUGCGCAGAGAUAUGGAGGAACACCAGUGGCGAAGGCGACUUUCUGGUCUGUAACUGACGCUGAUGUGCGAAAGCGUGGGGAUCAAACAGG